This 405-nucleotide ribosomal RNA is filed under the name uncultured bacterium. RNAcentral describes it as "partial 16S ribosomal RNA". It matches the Rfam family "Bacterial small subunit ribosomal RNA", at positions 28 to 526 of the family's 1533-position model. The record is from RNAcentral.
GACGAACGCUGGCGGCGUGCUUAACACAUGCAAGUCGAGCGGAGCAGCGAACGGGUGAGUAACGCGAGCGUAUCUUCCCCCCCCUCUGGGAUAACAGUUGGAAACGGCUGCUAAUACCGGAUAGUAGGGGAUGACUUGGGUUCUAUCAGCUUGUUGGUGGGGUAGUGGCCGACCAAGGGGACGACGGGUAGCCGGCCUGGGGGGGGGACCGGCCACAUUGGUCUGAGAGACGGCCCAGAGUCCAACGGGAGGCAGCAGUGGGGAAUAUUGCACAGUGGGGGAAACCCUGAUACAGCAGCGCCGCGUGCGGAAUGACGGCCAUCGGGUUAUAAACCGCUUUAAGCCAUGACGCGGUAGUAGCAGAAGAAGCACCGGCUAACUACGUGCCAGCAGCCGCGGUAAUUC